RNAcentral lists this ribosomal RNA (246 nucleotides) under Triticum aestivum (bread wheat). RNAcentral's name for it is "partial small subunit ribosomal RNA". The record is from RNAcentral. Lineage: Eukaryota; Viridiplantae; Streptophyta; Magnoliopsida; Poales; Poaceae.
AUAGGGUGCUUGCUUUCCUUCAUCACAGAAUCGACCCAGUUAUCAUCAUAAGCAUUCUCGAGGACGACAAGGGGGCAUGCCAUGUCCCAUCCGCCGCAAUCACAACCUCCACCAUACCUCCAUCUUUCUAGCAAGGAUGAGGGGCUGACUUCAUUGUCGUCUGGUAAACCAUGCAGCCCACUCGGGGUGACCACUUUGAUAGUACCAGCGGACGAACACUUCUUGUCCUUAUUGAAUGGAAUCUGA